Molecule: long non-coding RNA, 844 nt
Organism: Gallus gallus (chicken)
Lineage: Eukaryota; Metazoa; Chordata; Aves; Galliformes; Phasianidae
Source: Ensembl
CUCAAUGUCACAGCCAUGCUGAUAAUCGGGACUGACUUUGUUAUGGAAGGUGGUGUUGGAGUGAUUCAAUGCCACUUUUCUAUCCAUUACAAACAGAUGUCAGCACCCUGUUCCAAACCACACCACCAGCCCUGAAGAAUACUGAAACUUUGCUGAGGGGUGAGAAGUUUCUUCUUUCUCCUCUCCUCAUUUUCUUGCUUCACUUUCUGAGUUACAGCUGCACUUCCACUGCUAUCAAUACAAGGCCAAGAGUGAGUUUAAUUGUAUUAUAUACACUGCAGCAAGGACAGAGGGCAAGCUCUAGCAAACACAUGGUCACUAUGAGACAACACACUUAUUCCUAGGCAAAAAAUCAGAUGCCUUUGGGAGAGCUUAUUAGACAAGACGAAGAACAGAAAAAAAAAUAAGAAAUCCUUGACUAAUGAGGCAGGAUGGCAUUAGCCAGCCAGCCCUAUACAAGUCCCCGUGAUGGACCUAGAUGUGAUGGGCGAUGCUGUGAUGGACAUAGGAUAACAUCACACAUCACGUGGGAGGAUGCCUUCUCUGAAAGAGGAACAGUGACGUGGAAGGCAUCAGUUUUUGGGUAAAAUGGAAAGUUCUGUGAUGAAAUCUAGAUCCAGCUCUACCACCUUGAGGAUUCAAAUCUCCCCCCAGAUGCACCUCUUCUGGUUGUAAGUUGCUGAUUCCAUCUUCAUACUGCAUUUUCAUUGCAUUGGACAAAGAUCAGUAGAAUUCGGCUGAGUUCCAGAGAAGAGUCAAGAACAUGAGCUGACCCAUGGCUGUGUUCACCUGGAAUCAUCAUCUGUGUUCCAGUAAAUGCAGGAGCUGAAAGCAAGUUGCCUAC